This 45-nucleotide non-coding RNA is filed under the name Schistosoma mattheei. Lineage: Eukaryota; Metazoa; Platyhelminthes; Trematoda; Strigeidida; Schistosomatidae. The record is from RNAcentral.
GUCCAGCUGACGAGUCCCAAAUAGGACGGAACGCGCGUUAUGGAU